ACAAUCUACAACCAACUGGAUUGGAAUCAUAUGCAAUAUCAACUGCUGGAGGACCGUCUAUUGAAAGUCAGUACAGUGUCAUUAGGAAAGGUGAUAUAAUGGAAUAUGAAGAAGUACCUCCACCAAUCCCUCCUCAAUAUAAUUAUAAUGAAAUAAAUGUUGAACAGAAUGGACAAAGCCCCAUCUACUCUAUAGUCAAUGCAAAUCAAGUUAAUAAUGAUGGAAAAGGUCCUGUUUAUUCCACAGUAAGUC
This is a long non-coding RNA of Amphimedon queenslandica, 252 nucleotides long. RefSeq lists it as uncharacterized. The transcript has 4 exons. The record is from RefSeq and is a predicted model, not a curated record. Lineage: Eukaryota; Metazoa; Porifera; Demospongiae; Haplosclerida; Niphatidae.